UGUCUACACUUAAAAGGCUCCAGUGGUGCCAGUGCAGCUUGGUAAUCCACCUCUCUGAGUGGUGGUAGCUAUGUCAACAGGAGAAGUCCUCCCCUCAAUAUAGCGCUGUCCACACCAGGAGUUAGGGAUGGACAAGUGAGCGUUGUCAAGCUGGCUGACUUCUUGAAAGUGCAUGCUCUAAUGUCAGAGCGAAGAGUGAGGCACUGAGAAGAGAAAAUAUAAAGAGAGCACGUACUGGACGGAUCAAUUGCUGACAGCCCUAAUUUUGUUCCUAAUAAUCUAUCUCACCAGAAGAAAAACUUUUAGUGCACAACCUUGAAUUAUUUUACAUCUAUCAUGUUUUGCAAUCCUGGCACCAUCUCUGAUACAGAUUUUUUUUCAUACUCUCCUUUGUCACCCAGAGUUCAAUGUGUGGCCCCACACCACCAUGCUGUUCUAAUCCUGCUCUGAAGAGUGAAUUAUUAACUUCCUCGUGGGAUUUUCCAUGGUACUUAUCACUAGAAGAGUAUCUGAGUUCUUCACAAAUCAUUUAUUUUCACAGCAUCCAUGGGAGAUGGGGCUAUUCCCAUUUUACAGGUAGUAAAUGGAUGCACAGAGAGAGUAUAAGGUCAGAAUGAUCCACUAAUUUUUAGUGCCCUGGGACCUGAUUUUACAGCAUACUUAGCAUUAUAUAACACUUCAUGUGUUCAAAGCACAGUUCGCAUUGACUUCAACUACAGCUGUGAGUGUUCAGCACUUCUGGAAAUCGGACCCCAGAGUCUUAAAUAAGGCACCCAGAAAAUGAGGAGCACAUAUUUGUGACUACCUGUGAAAGUUUAAGUGGUUUGCUAGCAGUACGCAGGAACUCUGUGGCAAAGGCAGGAAAUUCAGUUCUCCAGAGCAGAAUUAAACUGCCUUAACCAUGCAACUAGAUAUCAGCAAAUUAAUUGAUAAUUUUCUUCUAAUUUUGUUUUAACUGAAAAAUUUUGAUUUGUACCCAGUCUAGUGAUUUUUUUUUUCCUCCUCACCAAAACAAAACAAAAAAGUGUGCAGGUCAAUUCUAAUUGACAUUUUCUAAACCUUUGGGUCUGUCACAGGUGCUGGGUCUGUCACAGGUGCUUGGCCCUGAUCCCUCUAAAAGGGACCAAGUGCCUUAUGACCAGCAGCCUGCUUAUGAGGAGGUUUUUGAGCCUCGUGAAAGACACCUAUAGCUAGUUAGAUCAUGACUAGUUCCACAAGCCCAUUGUCUGAGAGGAAGGCUGCCAGAGCAGGGAGGCAACUGAAAGGGGAUCGUGUGAGCUAGACCUGUCUGGAAAGGAUUUUAGGCAGUGGGUGACCAAAACAGGUUGCAAGAAAGCCAAAGUAGCCCAGUAAAAUAGCUCAGGCUGGAGAGGACUGUGGAGAAUGUGCUUCGGGGUGACAGGAGGAUGGGAAGCAUGUCACCUGAGAAAAGGAAACGGCCAGGAUUGCACUGCAUAUGAGCCUGUUUGUUUUUCCUGUUUUGCAUUAAAGCCUCUCUGUUGGACUGUUUCAGGGCCCAACUGACGCAGGUUACUCAAUAAAGAGAAAUCUGUUUUGGGUAAAUAUUUGA
This is a non-coding RNA of Chelonoidis abingdonii (Abingdon island giant tortoise), 1570 nucleotides long. Lineage: Eukaryota; Metazoa; Chordata; Testudines; Testudinidae. The record is from RefSeq and is a predicted model, not a curated record.